GACUACGAAGUUGAGUUUGACAGCUUAUGUGUGUGAAGUGGAGGUAAACAAGAAAAGAUAAAAAAGUAAUAAAUUUUCAAACGUACCGUUUUAUGCUAUUUUCGUUACUCAGUUUGAAAUGGUAAAUUGGAAUGAUUUUAAAAAUUUUUGACGAUACUAUUUUAGUUGAUAAAUAUAAAAUGAAUACAAUAAGUGAUGCUUAUUUUCCCGAGUAAAAAACAGCUGUAGGUAUCUGAAAAAAAGUAAACAACAUUUCAAAACAGCAAUUAUGAAUUAAAAUCUAUUCAUAUGCUUAAAAUUUUUUCAAUGUGCUUUAGAACUGGAUGUGUUCUACUCAUGGUGAGCCAUUAUCAAGUUAUACGUAUGGUGUGUUGGUGAACUUGCCGGAUGUUUUCAGCUUCGCUGCUGGAAUUAGCAGUUUGGUAGUCAAACGCCAACGGGUAUUCCAGGCUGGUUACCUCCUGAUAGUUUAAUUAGAUGAGGUAUACUAUGGCGGAUUUGGUGCAUUUUCCCCUUGUUUAUGUCAUCAUCUUCAAGUGCCGAACCGCGCACAAUGAAAAUCGAUGCAAAAACUACUUCGGAUAUAUAUCAGGCCACAAGAUUGAGAGAUCUGUUUCGGACGAGUUGGAAAACUCUCAAAUUUGGAACCAUUUCGUGGGAGUUUUCUCAGGUACAUGAGGUAAUGCCGAAAGUUGAAGAAUUGCUGAUGCUGGGAGAAAAUAAUUACUAAAAAAUAAAAACUAUAUCAGGAUACAAAAUGUUUCAAAA
Molecule: long non-coding RNA, 768 nt
Organism: Malaya genurostris
Lineage: Eukaryota; Metazoa; Arthropoda; Insecta; Diptera; Culicidae
Exons: 3
Source: RefSeq, a predicted model, not a curated record